Molecule: ribosomal RNA, 398 nt
Filed under: uncultured bacterium
Lineage: Bacteria
Description: bacterial SSU rRNA
Rfam family: Bacterial small subunit ribosomal RNA
Source: RNAcentral
UAUAGUACGGACGUACCCUGGAGUGGGGGAUAACGUAGCGAAAGUUACGCUAAUACCGCAUACGAUCUAUGGAUGAAAGCGGGGGAUCGCAAGACCUCGCGCGAUUGGAGCGGCCGAUAUCAGAUUAGGUAGUUGGUGAGGUAAAGGCUCACCAAGCCGACGAUCUGUAGCUGGUCUGAGAGGACGACCAGCCACACUGGGACUGAGACACGGCCCAGACUCCUACGGGAGGCAGCAGUGGGGAAUUUUGGACAAUGGGCGCAAGCCUGAUCCAGCAAUGCCGCGUGCAGGAUGAAGGCCUUCGGGUUGUAAACUGCUUUUGUACGGAACGAAACGGUGAGCUCUAAUACAGUUUGCUAAUGACGGUACCGUAAGAAUAAGCACCGGCUAACUACGUG